UGAGGAAUAUUGGUCAAUGGGCGCAAGCCUGAACCAGCCAUGCCGCGUGCAGGAUGACGGCCCUACGGGUUGUAAACUGCUUUUAUACGGGAAUAAACCCUUGGACGUGUCCAAGGUUGAAGGUACCGUAGGAAUAAGGAUCGGCUAACUCCGUGCCAGCAGCCGCGGUAAUACGGAGGAUCCAAGCGUUAUCCGGAUUUAUUAGGUUUAAAGGGUGUGUAGGCGGAUUUGCAAGUCAGCGGUGAAAGCCCAUAGCUCAACUAUGGAACUGCCGUAGAUACUGCGGACCUUGAGUCCACUUGAAGUAGGCGGAACGUGUAAUGUAGCGGUGAAAUGCUUAGAUAUUACACAGAACACCGAUUGCGAAGGCAGCUUACUAAAGUGUAACUGACGCUGAGGCACGAAAGCGUGGGGAGCAAACAGG
This 424-nucleotide ribosomal RNA is filed under the name uncultured bacterium. RNAcentral's name for it is "bacterial SSU rRNA". It matches the Rfam family "Bacterial small subunit ribosomal RNA", at positions 355 to 776 of the family's 1533-position model. The record is from RNAcentral.